AUUGAACGCUGGCGGCAUGCUUUACACAUGCAAGUCGGACGGCAGCACAGAGAAGCUUGCUUCUUGGGUGGCGAGUGGCGAACGGGUGAGUAACAUAUCGGAACGUACCGAGCAGUGGGGGAUAACUAAUCGAAAGAUUAGCUAGUACCGCAUAUCUUCUGAGGAAGAAAGCAGGGGACCAUUUGGCCUUGCGCUGUUUGAGCGGCCGAUAUCUGAUUAGCUAGUUGGUGGGGUAAAGGCCUACCAAGGCGACGAUCAGUAGCGGGUCUGAGAGGAUGAUCCGCCACACUGGGACUGAGACACGGCCCAGACUCCUACGGGAGGCAGCAGUGGGGAAUUUUGGACAAUGGGCGCAAGCCUGAUCCAGCCAUGCCGCGUGUCUGAAGAAGGCCUUCGGGUUGUAAAGGACUUUUGUCAGGGAAGAAAAGGGCGGGGUUAAUACCCCUGUCUGAUGACGGUACCUGAAGAAUAAGCACCGGCUAACUACGUG
RNAcentral lists this ribosomal RNA (490 nucleotides) under uncultured bacterium. Its description in RNAcentral is "partial 16S ribosomal RNA". It matches the Rfam family "Bacterial small subunit ribosomal RNA", at positions 30 to 507 of the family's 1533-position model. The record is from RNAcentral.